GGUUGAUGAGGGGCUGCGAAGGGGCGGGGUGGGAUCUUGGUCCAGCUGGUACUGGAGCGGCGACAGUUUUGGCUAGUCUAAGAAGGGCAUUCGAGUGACCGUUGACAACGGGUGGGACAGCGUCAGAGCUGGAGGGAGAGCUAGCACUGUAUGCUUCCAGGACUCCUAGCUAGGUGCAUUAGUUUUUAUUUUUAAGAAUUGGGUGAAAGACUCUAAUUAGUUAGCAUCUCACUCAUUGGCGAUUUUCUACGGGAUGGUUUCAUCCAAAGAGGAUUUCAUAAUCGCACUGUGUGGCACCAUUAGGGGACUUAGAGUGUCACUCGCCGCCAUAAAUCCUUUCGGGAACAAGCCAGGAUAUAAAUAAAUAAAGCUAGGUGUGGGUCUUCCCUUCACAAGGCGCUGGUAGGCAGACUAAAGACAGGCAACAGCUGAGUGUGCACACAGAACUAAAUAUUGAACGAAAUACGAGUGUCGGAAUAAAAUUCAUUGCCAUGUGCACAGCUUAUGAUUAUACAGAUCUUGGACAUAUCACGGACCUGAACGUCAACCCUACAACACCGAAUAAAAUAUCUAAUGUAGCUGGAAUAGAUUCUGAAAGGACAUUAGGCAUUAUCUAAAUCAAGUCCCUCAUUUUACAGAUGAGUAAACUGACUCGGUGAAGUAUUUUGCUCAAGGUCAUUCAUCAAGUUAGUAGUCUAAUUAACUCAGUGUUCUAGGAAGCAGGGUGGUAGAAAAGCAUGGGCUUCGGAGUCUGAAAUCUUUCUUGGUUUCCCGUCCUUGUAGGCUGUUCUACAAGUGUAUCUUGGGCAAAUCCCUUAACGUGUUGCCAUUUAUUAAGUGCUUACCACGUGGCAAACAAUCCACUUUGCAUGCUGUGUCAAUUACAUGCAGUAUGUCGUGUAGUUAUUACUGUACCCAUUUUAUGAGGUAGUUUAGGUUUAAAGAUAUUAGAAAUUUACCCAAAGUUACACAGCUAUAAACACUAGUAAUUUCAAACUCAGGUCUUCCUGACUGCAAAGGCUGCUCUCUUAAAUGUUGCAAUACAUUAGAGCUCCGGAUUCUCUCCCACUCAAAACAGGGACUGAGACUCCAACCAAUUUCCACCAUUCUUGGGAGUCACACGAGAGAGACUGUGGCAAUGUAUUCUAAGCUGUAAAAAGGAUAAACAUAUUCACUAGAUUUGUAGAAUGAAGAUAUUCGUUCCCUAUACUUUCCACUACAACAAUUGAACCAGAAAGAUGGCUUUCAUACUAAGCUAGCAUAAGAAGGAACUUAACUGUAAUUAUGAUAUUCUAACAAAGAAUAUAUGCAUAUCUAAAGCAAUAACCAAAGUGAAUAGAAUAAAAUUUAAUUCCUGAUAGAUUAAAUAGGCAAUAGCAAGGAAUACUAACGCUCCUCAUAGCGUCCUUAUUGGAAGAAUCGUCUAGGAGGCAUUGGGAUUUCUGGUGCUUUUUAAGCAAUGAGAGGUAUCAGUCCACUGAAUGAGAAAGAGAAUAGCGUUUAGUUUGGGACUAAAAGUUCCUCUGGACUACGGAAAAAACGUUUGCCUCUAUCAGUGAAGAAGGUAUGCUGAGAGCUGAAAGAAAAGGAAAGAAGCAACAGUGAGAGCUCAGUAAUUCCCAGACUGUUUUGACGCCCAAGAACUUGACAUAUGACCCAUCACUACUAGACCCCCACAACUGCAUUAGAUUUGUUCAGGAUUUUCAUAUAAUUUCCAUACCUGGCUAAGGAUUGUUGUUUUCUGCUUGUUGCUUUCUGAAAUUCUACUGGACCUAAUGCCAAAAGAUGAUCAAGAAGAGCAUGAAAAAAAAUCCCCUGGAUCCAUUGGCUUUCUUCCCUAUACUGACAACAAUUUACAUGUGUGAGAGAUGCAUGCCUCAACCCAGGUCCCCUUCUUUCAUCUGCAAAGUCAGCAGCCCCUGCACAUCAUCUCCUGUAAUAAACUCCCUCUGUCUCCUCCGUAUAAGGUCACUGAGGGUUACAUUAUGGUCCAUGAUAUAAGAAAAUGAAUGUCUAUUGCUUUUCUCUUGAUAUUCAUGGCACUGCUCCUCUCCAUCCAUAGGAUUAUCUUAU
Long non-coding RNA from Rhinopithecus roxellana (golden snub-nosed monkey), 2073 nucleotides. RefSeq lists it as uncharacterized. The transcript has 6 exons. The record is from RefSeq and is a predicted model, not a curated record. NCBI's taxonomy places the organism in Eukaryota, Metazoa, Chordata, Mammalia, Primates, Cercopithecidae.